AGAUGGAGCUGUGUCUUAGGGCGUGUUUGGAAGGUUGGAGUUCUGAACCACCUGGUUAAGUGGUUUUUGAAGCUUUCAAUGAGUACUACAAUGGUAACUGCAAAGAAGUGGCUUGCAAGUGUGGAUUCAGGCUGGAAUAAUGCCCUCUACACAAAACCUCAGAUAAGAGGUAUGCAGAUGUAGCCCCUGUCUGAAAUGGGAGGUGUCUUGCACAAAGCUGAUAAGAGGUAUGCAGAUGUAGCCCCUGUCUGAAAUGGGAGGUGUCUUGCACAAAGCUGAUGCUGGAAAGACAUGUGGAUUGUGGCUGUUGCAGUAGGUGACCAGGUCAAGUUAGUCAGAAUCUGCCUUCUGAGCCCUUGGAUGCAGUGGAGCCCUGUUGAUGCUACAGCCUUGACAUUUGCCACAGCCUGUAAUUUUAGACCAGAGGUCUUUUGCUCUGACCUUAAAUCUAGAUUGGAAAGUGCCAUUAUUAAAAGAGAAUGAGAAGUUGAGUAGUGUGGGAUAUUUAUUUUAUUUAUUAUUUUUUUAUUUUUUGUAGUUUCUCCUUUUCUACCUCAAUGUAUUUUUCUAAGGUUUGAUUGAAAUUAUUUCGUUGCCCCUUAUACAUUGACUUGUACAGCUUUGUAUAACUUAUGCUUUGCAUGUAUAUGCUGUUAUCAUUACGGUUUUAUUCCAAAGCCUAUGAUCAGACAAUGUCUACGUAAAAAUAAAGUAAUGCUGG
This 721-nucleotide long non-coding RNA is filed under the name Astyanax mexicanus (Mexican tetra). Its description in RNAcentral is "lncRNA (ENSAMXG00005020585.1)". The record is from RNAcentral. Lineage: Eukaryota; Metazoa; Chordata; Actinopteri; Characiformes; Acestrorhamphidae.